Long non-coding RNA from Gasterosteus aculeatus aculeatus (three-spined stickleback), 1654 nucleotides. The record is from Ensembl. NCBI's taxonomy places the organism in Eukaryota, Metazoa, Chordata, Actinopteri, Perciformes, Gasterosteidae.
CAGCUUUAACACAUGAAGCUGUGAUUUGUCAUUAUCGACAAGCGGGAAUCACGAUGCAAAAUAGUAACAAAAUGUGAUCUAUUUGUUGUUUGGUUCGUUUUUAGACCUAACUGCUGUUUUAGUUUUUUUUUAAACUAUUUUGGUUUAGUUGUUUAAACUGUUUUAUAAAACCCAUCCACUAUGUUUUUCCAGAACGGAGGGGCUUCUCAAUGAUGGUCAACACAUUUCAUUAAUACUUGAAGCUCUGCGUAGCUCCGUAUUUAUUUUCGACACCAGAGCUAAUUUAAUUGUUUAACGAGUUUACUUCUCUGCACUCAUUCAGCACCUUCUCCCAAGGUCAUAAUCUAACAAAAUAAAUAGUUUGUUGUGUUGUUUCAUUUGUUGGUAUAUAUUUAUUUAAUUACAUACAUUAUACAAUAUUACAGAAGCAUGCUUAAUGAAAAAAAAAACAUUUUGAGUAAUUGGGACAGAUUUUACUGAUUGUGCGCAAAAUUCUAGCGCGCACAAUCACACACGUCCCUUUUAUCUCUCUCUUCACCUUUAGUUGAUCUCCAUCCAUCUCAAUAUUCCUGCUCUGCCUCAAUGGAUUCUAGAGAGGGUUUUUGUAACCUCCCCCCAUCCUGUCUCUGCUUGUUGAGUGCAGUUUUUCCUAACGGCUGUAUUUUGUGCAUGAUGAUGGCGGGUGGAUGGUGGGCCGAUGGGGGGCCGGGAGCUGCACUCGUCCUCACAACUGCUACCGGCUGAAAGCACAACACAGCAAUGUCGAACUGGAAAUCACUCACAGCUUUGUUCUUGUAGGGUAUCAAAAACUGAUAAUCCACGUUGCAUGAAUUAUGUAAUCAAUAAAGAAAUCGCUGAAAACGCUGUAAUUCCAGUGUACAACUGUAAUUUUAAUUAUUAGUGUUAACAAUGCAUGAAUAUAAUUGUAUUAAAUGUAAUGUGAUCAGCAAAUGCAUGCAUGUAAUACGUAAUAUAACUAUCUACAUUGACCGAGAGACAUUCAAAAUCCAAGUGGUGACCUCAGGCGGCCCACAGAGGAACUUAUGUCCGUCACAGCAAAAGCCGGUUUGCGCCUCGUAGAAGGAUCCCCGUCGUGGACGCAGUCGUCCUGACGUCACAUAUUGGUUUGUGGACAGAUGUUAUAAAGCCGCAAGUUUGGCUUUUUUUGACGCCACCAUCUUAGUUUUUACAACCAGUGACAGGACAGGAAGUGACCAUACUUGGACCGAGGAGGACUCUGGUAGAGACCUGUCAAUCAGCGUGUAGCCCCGCCCUAAAGCAUCACUUGCUUCUUCCAUUUAGAGUCAAACAGAGUCUGUUUGACUCUAAAUGGACCAUAAUUUACUAAAUGAACAUCAUACUGUAUUGAAAAAGACUUGGAACUAGAGUUUGAGAAAAUAAACUAAUGUUUACAAUGUUUACUGAGGUAACAAAUCAAGAGAGAAGUAGAGUAAUUUCCUCAUACGGGACCAGAGGAGUCGCCCCCUGCUGGUCAGGAGAAUCUAUUAUUUUACUUGGCCCAUAAUGAUCUCAGAGUGCGUCUCACCAAAUGUUACUCAAUGCUUUGUGCGAAUGCAUAUUGAGAUGCUAACAUGCUAACAAUAACAAGGCCGGCAAGCCAGCAUUGAAUAUGUAUGACAAUUACAUGUUUUUU